GACGAACGCUGGCGGCGUGCUUAACACAUGCAAGUCGAACGGAAAGGCCCUGCUUUUGUGGGGUGCUCGAGUGGCGAACGGGUGAGUAACACGUGAGUAACCUGCCCUUGACUUUGGGAUAACUUCAGGAAACUGGGGCUAAUACCGGAUAGGAGCUCCUGCUGCAUGGUGGGGGUUGGAAAGUUUCGGCGGUUGGGGAUGGACUCGCGGCUUAUCAGCUUGUUGGUGGGGUAGUGGCUUACCAAGGCUUUGACGGGUAGCCGGCCUGAGAGGGUGACCGGCCACAUUGGGACUGUGAUACGGCUCAGACUCCUACGGGAGGCAGCAGUGGGGAAUAUUGCACAAUGGGCGGAAGCCUGAUGCAGCAACGCCGCGUGCGGGAUGACGGCCUUCGGGUUGUAAACCGCUUUCGCCUGUGACGAAGCGUGAGUGACGGUAAUGGGUAAAGAAGCACCGGCUAACUACGUG
This 468-nucleotide ribosomal RNA is filed under the name uncultured bacterium. RNAcentral's name for it is "partial 16S ribosomal RNA". It matches the Rfam family "Bacterial small subunit ribosomal RNA", at positions 28 to 507 of the family's 1533-position model. The record is from RNAcentral.